This is an antisense RNA of 69 nucleotides. It matches the Rfam family "ASpks TB sRNA".
CUUGAGCGAGCCCAGCCACAGCGGCUCAGUACGGUCCUGGCCAUAGGUGGCCAGCAGCGCCUGCGCCUC